Molecule: long non-coding RNA, 1909 nt
Organism: Felis catus (domestic cat)
Lineage: Eukaryota; Metazoa; Chordata; Mammalia; Carnivora; Felidae
Exons: 3
Source: RefSeq, a predicted model, not a curated record
GGUGGGGGGUAGGAGUGGUUGUAGUCCCUUUCUUUAGAACAGAGAAUCAGUGGUCUUGUGACUCACCAUUUUUUUUGUUUGUUUGUUUUAGCAAGAGAAUGUGUAAACCCCAAAGGCUCAACUGUGGCCACUGGCCAGAAAACACCCUUGAAAACACCAGGGAGCCCAGGCAGGCUGUGAGGUGGAGGCUUGUGGACCUCAACAGGCCUUUGGAAGCCUCUCUCCCUGCGAGGCAGAAAGACAAGAUGGAAGCAGACCCUGGGAGAAAUAGUGAGGGUGAGGCUGUCACAGAUUCCAGUAUCAUUAGAAAAACAAAGAACCCACUGAUAGCUGAGACCUUUAGAGAAUAUCCAUUCUCAUUUAUAUCCGCCCCCGCCCUCCUGUGAGUGCGGAAUGUGGGUGGGCAGCCUGUGUUCAAAACGGAGGUCCUUAGUGGCUGCCUUCCCUCAGAAUCCUGUUUCUCCGCAGUGAAGUUUAAGUAAAUUGUUGUUUUCUUGACUUGUACAGGAGAAUACACAAAGACAAUAAAAAAGUUGCGUAAAUAUCCAUAAAGCGCCUAAUGACACCUCUGUCAUCUGUUUCCCGCAAGAUCCUAAAACGGGGUGGUCAUCCACCACCCACCCUGAGUGGGCGAUCGGCUAAUUGGUUCAUGCGUGUAUGGGCUCUUUCCAGAUCGAGCUGUGCACCGAAUACUAAACAUCCUCCUCCUCCUUCCCCCUCCCUUCCUCGAUUCACUCUGCUCGGGAGGGCGUGUGUAUGCGAGUCCGAGUCCGCGUGUGUAUGUUUAGCAAAGGCGCGUGUAAGAAACUAGCCCCCUUGUAACCCACUCCCCACUCUAAAGGAAGCAUCCCUUGAGCAAGAUGCGUCUCUAAUCUGUCCCAGGCUGAGGUGUCCUCUCCACGUUGAUAAGGGGACUGACUUCCAGACAGCUGAUAGGUAGGUUUCCCGGGAGGGCGACCUGACUUUUAGCGCGCUGCUUUCUUCCAGGGGUGUGCAAGGGUUGGUGCUUGCCGGAGUGUGUGUGCUCGCCCAAGAGACAGUUGGGGAGGGAGAGAGCGACUGGGUGAAGGAAGGAGGGAGAGAGAGAGAACGCGCGAGAGAGAGGAGAAAAGGAGAGGAGAGAGGAGAGAGAGAGAGACAGAGACAGAGAGAGACAGAGAGAGAGAGAGGAAUUAGAAGAGGACGUGGGAGGGGAGGGGAAAGAGGGAAGGAGAUUCCUGAUUCCUGCCUUGUGCAGGUGGCGCCCGCAGCUUGAGAAAACAGCAGCCUCCACCCCCUCAGCCCGGCGAUUGGCUGGUUUUUCUCAUUUUCCAGCGAGGAGCGGAAAGGACAAGCGACAUCCCGGGGCUCAAUUGCACGAGUGGCCACCACCUCCGAUGCACAAGGGGGCUCAUCUGAAAAGAAAGCUUAGCCCCAGAGAAGUGGUGUGGAGCGCCGCGGGUCGUGCGGGUGUGAACAGCACGCGAGGGCACCGGGUCUCACAGAGAUGAUGAACUCUGUUUGAACCGAUCUCUCAUUAAGAGUUCUUAAGAGAUGGCUUCACUGGCCUACUGGAGGAGGAAGAGGUGGGACCAGGUCACUCUCAUGAUCUCAGCUGAUGAGUCAACCCCCAGAAGCAGAAGCAACUGAGAAGCAGAAGUAACAGCUAAACACAGAAGCAUGAGUGUACCUAUUCAACAAUGGCAGAAGAAUAACUUGAAUAUUAACCUCCAUACAAACCUUUGAACAAAAUAAUCACUGCUGUGUUAAGCCAUUGGGAUAAUAUAAUCAUUAAAUAAUUAUGUAAGAAGAAUAACUUGAAUACUUAUAUUCAAGAAUAACCUAUAUACAAACUUUUGAGCAAAAUAAGUGAUUGCUGUGUUAAGCCACUAAAUUGUGUGAUAAUAUAAUCAUUAAAUAAUUAUUCACA